This is a non-coding RNA of Vicugna pacos (alpaca), 100 nucleotides long. The record is from RefSeq and is a predicted model, not a curated record. Lineage: Eukaryota; Metazoa; Chordata; Mammalia; Artiodactyla; Camelidae.
ACGCUCUUCUGAUUUCUGGGGAAAGAGCACACCAGGCAGCAGGAACAGCAAGUGCAAAGGACCUGGGGUGGGAAUGGGAGUCAAAGAGCAGAAAGAUGGC